GAGGGCCCCCAACACACAUGUAAUUAAUGAGUAUCUCCUCUCCGCCAAGCACUUUCUAACAGCUGAGCAUAUUUCAGUGAGCAAAACAAAGGCCCCUGCUCCAGGGAGCUUACAUUCCAUUUGGAGCAGUUAGAGGGAAGACAGGGAGAGGAGGGAGGAGUCAGGCAACUGAAAAAACAAACAAGCAAAUUAUAUUAAGAAAAUAUGCUUGAUGGCAAGAGGUGCUAUGCCAAACAAGAAAGCAAGAAAGGGCUUCCCAGGGGGUCCAGUGACACAGAAUCUGCCUGCCGAUACAGGGUACAUGAGUUCACUCCUGGGUUCAGGAGGACCCCACCCACUGCAAGGCAACUAAGCCCAAGUGCCACAACUGCUGAAUCCCACACACCCUAGAUCUGUGUUCUUCAACAAGAAAGCCCACCAUAAUGGGAAGUCUGCAAACUGGAAAGAGAGAGUAGCCCUAGCUCGCUGCAACUAGAGAAACCCCUGAGCAGCAAGGAAGACCCAAUGUAGCCAAAAGAAAAUUUAGUAAAAGAAAGCAAACAAGAAAGAAGACCAGCAAGGGAGAUGGCAGAGCUUCCUUCAAAAGCCACCGCUGCUUCGAUGGUCAUCACACAGAGAUCUGGCAGGAUCCCAUAUUCUACAUGACUCUUAAAAGAAAACACAUGUGGCUUGUGAUAUCAUUGCAUAGCACAGUGUUUUUAUAAUUUUACUUACAUUAUGUUAUGUACUUUAAUCCUUUGAACUUUAAGAAACAGAAAAUUAAGUAUCUCUCCGAUUGUGCGUAAAGGAAAAUAUAUCUUGCCUCAUAUUUUGAUAAUACUUUUAUGUAACUGAUCUCAUUUAAAUCAUAUAACAACCCACUGUGGCCAAUUACAGGUCUUACCCCAACUUUACCGCUCUGAACACUGAGCCUCGGGACAUGGCUUUGAUGUGAUUUACAAGGUGGACCUGAUGUUCAUUUUCCAUUGCCACAGCGACAGGAAGGAAAGCUGAAACCAGGAGUGCCGGCGGGAGAGCUGCAGGGCAGGACGCAAUGCCAUCAAGUGACUGGAGUCUCGUUAUUAGGAAAUGUGGAAAGGUUACUGAAACUGGCUUUAGCAAUACGUGAACCGUGAACUUCCAGAUGUUCAAGCUGGUUUUAGAAAAGGCAGAGGAACCAAAGAUCAAAUUGCCAACAUCUGCUGGAUCAUCGAAAAAGCAAGAGAGUUCCAGAAAAACAUCUAUUUCUGCUUUAUUGACUAUUCCAAAGCCUUUGACUGUGUGGAUCACAAUAAAUUGUGGAAAAUUCUGAAA
Bos taurus (domestic cattle) is the source of this 1293-nucleotide long non-coding RNA. Lineage: Eukaryota; Metazoa; Chordata; Mammalia; Artiodactyla; Bovidae. The record is from Ensembl.